GAUGAACGCUGGCGGCGUGCCUAAUACAUGCAAGUCGAGCGAACAGACGAGGAGCUUGCUCCUCUGACGUUAGCGGCUGACGGGUGAGUAACACGUGGAUCACCUACCUCUAAGACUGGGAUAACUUCGUGAAACCGGAGCUAAUACCGGAUAAUAUAUUGAACCGCAUGGUUCAAUAGUGAAAGACGGUUUUGCUGUCACUUAUAGCUGGAUCCGCGCCGCAUUAGCUAGUUGGUAAGGUAACGGCUUACCAAGGCGACGAUGCGUAGCCGACCUGAGAGGGUGAUCGGCCACACUGGAACUGAGACACGGUCCAGACUCCUACGGGAGGCAGCAGUAGGGAAUCUUCCGCAAUGGGCGAAAGCCUGACGGAGCAACGCCGCGUGAGUGAUGAAGGUCUUCGGAUCGUAAAACUCUGUUAUUAGGGAAGAACAAAUGUGUAAGUAACUAUGCACGUCUUGACGGUACCUAAUCAGAAAGCCACGGCUAACUACGUG
RNAcentral lists this ribosomal RNA (497 nucleotides) under uncultured bacterium. Its description in RNAcentral is "partial 16S ribosomal RNA". It matches the Rfam family "Bacterial small subunit ribosomal RNA", at positions 28 to 507 of the family's 1533-position model. The record is from RNAcentral.